Molecule: ribosomal RNA, 458 nt
Filed under: uncultured Acidovorax sp.
Lineage: Bacteria; Pseudomonadati; Pseudomonadota; Betaproteobacteria; Burkholderiales; Comamonadaceae
Description: bacterial SSU rRNA
Rfam family: Bacterial small subunit ribosomal RNA
Source: RNAcentral
CACAAGCGGUGGAUGAUGUGGUUUAAUUCGAUGCAACGACGAAAACCUUACCCACCUUUGACAUGUACGGAAUCCUUUAGAGAUAGAGGAGUGCUCGAAAGAGAACCGUAACACAGGUGCUGCAUGGCUGUCGUCAGCUCGUGUCGUGAGAUGUUGGGUUAAGUCCCGCAACGAGCGCAACCCUUGUCAUUAGUUGCUACAUUCAGUUGGGCACUCUAAUGAGACUGCCGGUGACAAACCGGAGGAAGGUGGGGAUGACGUCAAGUCCUCAUGGCCCUUAUAGGUGGGGCUACACACGUCAUACAAUGGUCGGUAUAAAGGGCAGCUACACCGCGAGGUGAUGCUAAUCUCUAAAGCCGGUCUCAGUUCGGAUCGAAGUCUGCAACCCGACUUCGUGAAGUUGGAUUCGCUAGUAAUCGCGCAUCAGCCAUGGCGCGGUGAAUACGUUCCCGGGCCUU